This 45-nucleotide non-coding RNA is filed under the name Schistosoma mansoni. The record is from RNAcentral. Lineage: Eukaryota; Metazoa; Platyhelminthes; Trematoda; Strigeidida; Schistosomatidae.
AUCCAACUGACGAGUCCCAAAUAGGACGAAACGCGCGUCGUGAAU